RNAcentral lists this ribosomal RNA (380 nucleotides) under uncultured eukaryote. RNAcentral describes it as "partial 18S ribosomal RNA". It matches the Rfam family "Eukaryotic small subunit ribosomal RNA", at positions 592 to 976 of the family's 1831-position model. The record is from RNAcentral.
CAAUAGCGUAUAUUAAAAUUGUUGCGGUUAAAACGCUCGUAGUUGGAUGUCUGCGAGUGGAUUCCGGUCCUUCCCAGUGAAGAUUACACGGAACUCUGCUUGCAUUUGUUCAGGGAUGGUGGCUGCACUUCGUUGUGUGACCACAAGAUCUGAAUUUUUACUUUGAGGAAAUGAGAGUGUUCCAAGCAGGCAAUCGCCGUGAAUAUGAUAGCAUGGAAUAAUAGCACAGGACUCUUGGUUCAAUGCUGUUGGUUCGUUGGACUAGAGUAAUCACAAUAAGGAUAGUUGGGGGUAUUCGUAUUUAACUGUCAGAGGUGAAAUUCUUGGAUUUUUUAAAGACGAACAAUUGCGAAGGCAUCUACCCAGGAUGUUUUUGUUGA